GAAAUAGCUCGACUAAUCAUCUGUUUAUAGAAUUGAUGUUCGAAAUCGUGAUUUCUGAGUGAACUUCAUUGGAGCAUAAAAUCUUGGAGGGAACAUCAAUAUUAAUUUAAUGACAUUCCAUAAGAAUAAAAAUCCAAUAGGACCAAGAUCUUAGCAGUUCGCACCCGGUCAGAGGGACAAAAUUGAGAACUAUGCAGAUCAGCAAGUGUGAGUUACACUCUAAUGAGGAACAGGACAUCUGAAUUGGAAAAUUGCAAGGUUUCCCACUGCCCAAGCUGUUUAAGUACUGGUACCACAACAAGUACCAAGAUGAAAGAAAUAUGAAGGCCAAGUUAAUAAGUAGUUACUUCAAAUUAAUUUGAAUAGAUAUCAACAAAGCAUUGAAUGUUCUUUAAACUGCAUAUCUGUAGAAAAGAGUGCAGUACAAGUUCAGAUUCAUCAGCGGGCAAUCAAGACAUUAAAGUACAUGUAUACAAAAUUUCACACAAAAUACAAGUAAGAAAUAUUUUUUUCCAAUGGGCAAAUGUAUCACCCUUUAUUAAUAUUAAUACUUCUACUAGUUCUUAAAGUUUUCGUGAAAUUAAAUGUAAUUUCCAGUUUAAAGGCCUAUUGUAUAUAAGACAAAAAUUUAUAUUUUGAAAUAAAAAUCAUGCGUAGAUAAAUGUUAAUAAAGGUGAUCAGAGGAUUAAGAAAUAAUUUCAGUAUCAUUCCUGGACCUUAUUUCAUAAACAAGUUAUUACUAUUGUAAUCUUGUCACUAUGACAAUUACCAUGGUAACAGGGCUGAGCAAGAAAUCAAGGUCUUUAUGGUAGCUGCAAUGGGCUUGGACAAAGUUACCACAAUUGCAAGUCUUCAUAUAAUGGCUUAAUAAUUAUGUAGGGAUAUUAAAUUGCAUUUAUUGUUAUCUCACUUUUUAAAAAGUUUUGACAUGAAUUACCUCUGCAAAAAUAUAUGAAUAGACUAUAUUUUUAAAAAUAGAUUGAAUUCUAGCUACAGUGACAGUAGACAAUAUCAAAUUUUGUGAAUGAUUCACUAAUGUAUUGACUGGGAAAGGCACUCUUUAGGGAGAUUCUGCCAUUCUGGAAUUAUCCCCCCCCCCCUUGCUGUGCUCUCACAUUAGUAGAAUAUUUCUAG
Molecule: long non-coding RNA, 1134 nt
Filed under: Lytechinus variegatus (green sea urchin)
Lineage: Eukaryota; Metazoa; Echinodermata; Echinoidea; Temnopleuroida; Toxopneustidae
Description: uncharacterized LOC121423782
Source: RNAcentral